RNAcentral lists this long non-coding RNA (211 nucleotides) under Gallus gallus (chicken). Lineage: Eukaryota; Metazoa; Chordata; Aves; Galliformes; Phasianidae. The record is from RNAcentral.
GACAGUCCAUUGACUCAGGUGGGAUUGUUCUGAAGCUGAACACCACAGAUUGUGGAGUUGUUCCUGGAGGGAAUGGGUCUUAAUCUUCAGGACAACCCUCUGGAAAAACUAAAGCCCUUGUGUUGUCUUUGUGGAGUUCCUGGUGAAAACCACCAGUGCUGCCUCCCCACAGAACUGUAUUCCACCUUUCAGAUCACCCCAGAAAAAGGAC